AUAGCGUAUAUUAAAGUUGUUGCAGUUAAAAAGCUCGUAGUUGAACUUCAGACCUGGCUGGGCGGUCUGCCUAACGGUAUGUACUGUCCGGCUGGGUCUUACCUCUUGGUGAGCCGGCAUGCCCUUCACUGGGUGUGUCGGGGAACCAGGACUUUUACCUUGGAGAAAAUUAGAGUGUUCAAAGCAGGCUUAUGCCCGGAAUACAUUAGCAUGGAAUAAUAAAAUAGGACGUGCGGUUCUAUUUUGUUGGUUUCUAGAGUCGCCGUAAUGAUUAAUAGGGAUAGUUGGGGGCAUUAGUAUUCCGUUGCUAGAGGUGAAAUUCUUGGAUUUACGGAAGACUAACUAUUGCGAAAGCAUUUGCCAAGGAUGUUUUCAUUAAUCAAGAACGAACGUUAGGGGAUCGAAAACGAUCAGAUACCGU
RNAcentral lists this ribosomal RNA (421 nucleotides) under uncultured eukaryote. Its description in RNAcentral is "SSU rRNA". It matches the Rfam family "Eukaryotic small subunit ribosomal RNA", at positions 594 to 1018 of the family's 1831-position model. The record is from RNAcentral.